GAUGAACGCUAGCGGCAGGCCUAAUACAUGCAAGUCGAACGAGAUUACGAGGCUUGCUUCUUAUGAAAGUGGCGCACGGGUGCGUAACGCGUAUGCAACCUACCUUAAUCAGGGGGAUAGCCCGAAGAAAUUCGGAUUAAGACCGCAUAAAAACACAGGAUAGCAUUAUCCAAUGUUCAAAUAUUUAUAGGAUUAAGAUGGGCAUGCGUGUCAUUAGCUAGUUGGCGGGGUAACGGCCCACCAAGGCGACGAUGACUAGGGGAUCUGAGAGGAUGACCCCCCACACUGGUACUGAGACACGGACCAGACUCCUACGGGAGGCAGCAGUAAGGAAUAUUGGUCAAUGGAGAGAACUCUGAACCAGCCAUGCCGCGUGCAGGAAGACAGCCCUCUGGGUCGUAAACUGCUUUUAUUCGGGAAUAAACCUUUCUACGUGUAGGAAGCUGAAUGUACCGAAGGAAUAAGGAUCGGCUAACUCCGUG
RNAcentral lists this ribosomal RNA (482 nucleotides) under uncultured bacterium. Its description in RNAcentral is "partial 16S ribosomal RNA". It matches the Rfam family "Bacterial small subunit ribosomal RNA", at positions 28 to 507 of the family's 1533-position model. The record is from RNAcentral.